This 2580-nucleotide long non-coding RNA is filed under the name Triticum aestivum (bread wheat). RNAcentral's name for it is "long non-coding RNA (TAES_LNC027312)". The record is from RNAcentral. Lineage: Eukaryota; Viridiplantae; Streptophyta; Magnoliopsida; Poales; Poaceae.
UCCCCCUGUCAGCCGCACAAGCCUGGCCCCGCCACCACCACGUCACGUAAGUGAAUUUUUUUCUGGUCAAAUGUGUUUUCUUCUUUGGGAAAGCGUAUUCCAGGAGGCUUCAGGCCAAAAUACGCUUUCACUUCUCUGAAAACGAACUCUGGUUCUACUGCGGCCCAAAAUGCGUUUCCUCCCUUCUGAAAAUGUACUUCACCUUAUGCGCUUUCUGUUUUCUGCCCCGGGGACUUGUUGGUGAUGAAAAUAUUAACAGAUAGGUCCCUGAGCUUCAACACCUCACAACUUUUCAACCGUAACUCUGAUCGAGGUGAAAUCAACGCUCACGUCUUCGUCUCGUCGAGCUCUUUCUGUUGGUAAAAUUUUCACUAGGUGGUCCCAUAGUGAAAAUGACCUUUUUCUCUUGCCUCUAAUCAGCCCCCUCCAAGAGAGAAUCGUCUGGUGUUUCGUUUCCGCGGCUUCACCACACUUCUUCCCGAGUCUCCGUCACCCCCAGGCAAGCCAAAACCACCAUUGGCAUGAUAGCCAUGCAGUAGCAUUGGUUUUCCACUUGAAUCUUUAAUAUCUGUCUGUUUUUCUGCUACUGCUACCGUUGUUUCGAUUAUGCGAUGGAUUUGUGUUUAUUUUCAUGUUAUGUUCAUACGCACCUGGUUAUCAUGUUCUACUUGCUAGUAUUACUUUCAUAUGUUCAUACUUGCUAGUAGUACAUGUUGGAUUGGUCAUGUUCUUCGGUGCAUGACUAUUGUCCGUUACUGAGUAUCGUUGAGAUGUUUGUUUCUUUGUUAUUAGUGGGUUAAGUGCUUACUUGGUAUUGUUCUUGCUAUGUUCUGGCAUGGUAUUUAUUCAUGAUGCUAGUGGUCAUGUUAUGUUCUGAGUAGUAGAUGCUCCUGUGUAGUGUUAUGCUCCUCAGUAUGCCAUGCUCAUUUGGAUAUAUGAUUCCUUGUGGUUAUGCUCGAUGAUUCGUUGCAACUCCAUGCUUAUGUUUAUAUCAUGCUCAUGCAUCGUAAUUGCAUCUUGUUAUUUUCAAAUGACUCAGCUUAUUGCCUUCAAGUUUAACCAGAUUUAAUUGAACUUGAACAACCGUUGGCUGAGUCAUGGCACCACCAUAUCGAGCUAACCAAUGCAACCACAUUUUCCUUUUAUGGGAAGGUCUUAACUGGAUCUAUUGUCAUGCCUCUCGCCGGGGCCUCCAACGAGGGAAGGUUAUGGGCACACGCUACCCUGAUCAGGUAGGCAGACAUAAGCCUUAUGUGCCCGUUCUUGUUGUUAUGGUACCAUGUCCCCGUUUGGGACCAUUUAUGUAUUGCCACGAUGGUGGCCGUUCAUGCCUUUGGUAGGCAUGGGGUCACCCAUGACUUAGCCUAGAGGGGAGUUGGUCGGAGUGGCCGGGAGAGUGUCAUGGGCAAUAGAGCAGUUUUGUCGGAACACCGUUGGUCCACCCGAAUGGGAGUGCGAGGCAUUGGGUUCCAUGGUGUGGGUAUAGUGUGCUAACAUCUGCAUAGUGUGUGUUAAAUCUAUCGAUAGCCGCGCCCGUGGAUAAGGGCCCAGUUCGUAGUUGGUCACACUAUGGGUCAACAGUAAUAAUAAUAAUGAUGUGCUUAAUAACAACCCUGGUUCAAUGAUGAGACAAGUUGGUUGAUCUUUAUGUGAUCGUGAGAGGAUCACCGUGGUAUCGAGGAUACCGAGUUGUCGGAUAUUUGUGGUGUUAUGCGAGAAUCACGGGUAAAGGUCAAGCUUCUCGUGGUCAUGUAUUGAUUACUACGGUAUUGUUUAUACCAAGCUUGAUUGGAUCCUAAGAUGAUCGUGAGAUGUCUGAGGUCGGUAAGUUAUGCAUGUGAUGGUUACGAGGUAACCCGAGCAGAGUAAGUUGGUGCAUGAUAAUGUCAUCAUGUUGCACGCUAGAAUCAUUAUGCUCAUAUGUUCAUGCCAUGCUCAUAUUGUUCUAGCGGUAUCAUGUUCAUCUUGUUCAUGCUAUGAUUGAUCUGAUAGUAUCAUGUUAACCUGUAAUUGCUACGCUGUUGUUUGUCUUGAUUACUCUUGGUUGCUGUGAGCUUGCAAGUACAUUCAAUGUACUGACCUGGCGUGUCAUGCCAGAUUGCAGGUCGGGCCUUGAUUGCUAGCUUGUUUGGUGUGGUUUUGUUGUUCGCGAGCUAGGAUAAACGUUCCAGCUAGAGUCCCUGCGGAUUGGAGUCCAUCAUCAUUGGUUGUUCUUCUCCUGCCAGUAGAGGUUCCGCUGCCUCGAGUUGUUAUGCUGCUUCAAUAGAGCAACUGUAGUUGGCGUAGUGUCGCCGUGUUGGUGUUAUUCAUUGUAAUAUCGAAGACCUUGUAUUCAUAUUCCGGUUGUAAUAGAAAGCUGGUUUGCUCUAUGCUAAGCAGUGCCGUAUUCCAGAAGACUUCAUCUCGAUCUCUUGGCUGGAAUACGCGGCAUUCCAUUUUCUCUGAGCAGGGGUGCCAGAAGAGACUACUAAGAAUAAACAACUAGGUUGUCAGAUCCCACACAUAACAAGCAUUUCAAUAACAUAUACACAAUAUGCUCGAUAUGUGCAAAUACAACAUGGCAUCACAACAAAACUCUAU